Molecule: non-coding RNA, 27 nt
Filed under: Rattus norvegicus (Norway rat)
Lineage: Eukaryota; Metazoa; Chordata; Mammalia; Rodentia; Muridae
Source: RNAcentral
UGAAAGGUGUCCUCAGGCUGGCCCAGU